AUUGAACGCUGGCGGCAGGCCUAACACAUGCAAGUCGAACGAGUGGCGGACGGGUGAGUAAUGUCUGGGAAACUGCCCGAUGGAGGGGGAUAACUACUGGAAACGGUAGCUAAUACCGCAUACCAUCGGAUGUGCCCAGAUGGGAUUAGCUAGUAGGUGGGGUAAUGGCUCACCUAGGCGACGAUCCCUAGCUGGUCUGAGAGGAUGACCGGCCACACUGGAACUGAGACACGGUCCAGACUCCUACGGGAGGCAGCAGUAGGGAAUCUUGCGCAAUGGGCGCAAGCCUGAUGCAGCAACGCCGCGUUAGUGAAGAAGGCCUUCGGGUUGUAAAGUACUUUCAGCAGGGAGGCGUUACCCGCAGAAGAAGCACCGGCUAACUCCGUGCCAGCAGCCGCGGUAAUUC
Molecule: ribosomal RNA, 406 nt
Filed under: uncultured bacterium
Lineage: Bacteria
Description: partial 16S ribosomal RNA
Rfam family: Bacterial small subunit ribosomal RNA
Source: RNAcentral